This 253-nucleotide ribosomal RNA is filed under the name uncultured bacterium. Its description in RNAcentral is "partial 16S ribosomal RNA". It matches the Rfam family "Bacterial small subunit ribosomal RNA", at positions 524 to 776 of the family's 1533-position model. The record is from RNAcentral.
UACGUAGGGUCCGAGCGUUGUCCGGAUUUACUGGGCGUAAAGCGUGCGCAGGCGGUUAUGCAAGGCAGAUGUGAAAUCCCCGGGCUCAACCUGGGAACUGCAUUUGUGACUGCAUGGCUAGAGUACGGUAGAGGGGGAUGGAAUUCCGCGUGUAGCAGUGAAAUGCGUAGAUAUGCGGAGGAACACCGAUAGCGAAGGCAAUCCCCUGGACCUGUACUGACGCUCAUGCACGAAAGCGUGGGGAGCAAACAGG